UUUCCUCUUACAACAACGGAUCUGUGUCCAGCACUCCUGUCGACGGAGGUGUCAGUCUGACUGGCAUUUCUGUGUUUCGGUUGAGAGCUGGGCAGAUCGACGACCUUGGAGCCAUUCAUUUUCUGAUGUGUAUGGCAGCCUUACGGCUUCCUGUCGACAGAUCUCAGAUCAAAUGUUUGCACCAGGAAUUCCUUGGAUCUUGAGCUCCCGCCUUGGUGAGCUCGGUUUGAGGCCCUGGUCGCGAACGGCGUCAUAUUCCACCCCUCUUUACCGAUCGGCCGUCGGCCUGUGAGGUUAGGGAUAAACCAUGACAUGCCAACAUUC
This 324-nucleotide small RNA is filed under the name Penicillium oxalicum 114-2. RNAcentral describes it as "A. fumigatus sRNA Afu_309". It matches the Rfam family "A. fumigatus sRNA Afu_309". The record is from Rfam by way of RNAcentral. Lineage: Eukaryota; Fungi; Ascomycota; Eurotiomycetes; Eurotiales; Aspergillaceae.